ACCUGAUUUUGAAAUAUGUAAUAUUAACCCCUGACAUUUCUUCUUCUUGAGUCUUAAUUUUCUUUUUUUUUUUUUUUCUUCUAGUUCCACAGAGUAAUGAAAACCGUGCUCAGCUUUUCACCUUUUCAUUCAGUGCUUUUUGCGGAAUCCACAGUCACCCAGCAGUUCUCCAACUUUACAUUCAUCUUGACAAGAAACAGGGCAGUAACUUGGAGGAAAGAGGGACAAGGAGAAAAAGGAAAAAGAGAAGAAGUGGUUACCUGCUUUCACCAAGAGAAGUAACAGCACAUUCCCACCCGUGUUUGCCUGGGGGUGAAGACACUUAUGAAUCAAUGACCAAAAGUGAGAGAAGUAUUGCUAAUAGGAAUGAGAAGAACACAAAGAACAGAUUCCACAUUGCACUAACCUUUAAGAAACUACUUGCUGAGCUUUGGUGCAUUAUUAAAGAAGAUUAAAGAAGACUAUACAUGACUUUUGGAAAAGAUACUUAAAAG
Long non-coding RNA from Aethalodelphis obliquidens (Pacific white-sided dolphin), 494 nucleotides. RefSeq lists it as uncharacterized. Lineage: Eukaryota; Metazoa; Chordata; Mammalia; Artiodactyla; Delphinidae. The record is from RefSeq and is a predicted model, not a curated record. The transcript is spliced from 3 exons.